AAACUAUAAUGUGAGCAUCUCCUUAGAAGUUCUCUAAAGCGCUCCCACGUCUCAAAUAGAGAUUCAGAUUCAUAUUGUUGAAAAUUAGAGAUUUCUGUCAUCAUCUU
Abrus precatorius (Indian licorice) is the source of this 107-nucleotide small nucleolar RNA. The record is from RefSeq and is a predicted model, not a curated record. Lineage: Eukaryota; Viridiplantae; Streptophyta; Magnoliopsida; Fabales; Fabaceae.